UCUCUGUUGCAUUAUCUGCAGUGUCUGUUUCCAAUUAGAAUUCCGUGUCAAUAUGGCCAGGUGUUUCGCGCUUAUUUUGCUGAUUUCGGCUGUAACCAGCGCAAUUGACCUUGAGAAUACCCAGUACCUCAUCACCACGCCUUAUCAUUAUUAUAUUGACCAGAAUGAAACAAUCAACGUUCAAAUUUUUGGAACAAAACCUUGCGCAGUGAAUGUUACACUUAAAUCCAGAUAUAAUUCUCGGCUUGUCACCUCAGCGAAUGGCACCUUUGAGCCAGGAGAACGGGGAAAUCUACCAAUUUAUAUUCCAGGAAACGUUGUAACAGGUCGUCGCACAUACUAUGGAACAAAUCUAAAACUUCAAGCAAAUGUUUGUGGUAAAAAUUCGGAUGAAGUUGACGUGUUUGUUUCAGGGAGGAGAUACGACCAUAUUGUUUACAUACAAACUGAUAAGCCAAUCUAUAAUCCAGGACAAAAAGUUCGCAUGAGAAUCAUCGUACUUGACAGAAAAUUAAAACCAAAAGAAGGAAAGAUCGACAGCGUUCGUGUGAGCGUCUCAGCUUCGAGGAUUAACCAGUGGGAUAAUGUCGAACUUCAGGACGGUUUUGAAAACCUUGAACUACAGUUAUCCAAGGAGCCUGUUUUGGGACAAUAUGACAUCACAGUGAUUGUUGGUAAAAAAAGAACAACACAAAGAUUUGAAGUUUCUAAAUAUGUUUUACCAAAAUACGAAAUAAGUAUCAAACUUCCACCAUAUAUGGCUUUAGACCAGAAAGAAUUUACAACUACAAUUUGCGCUAAGUAUACUUACGGGAAAAACGUAAAAGGAAUGUUAAAUGCUUUGCUGUGUUUGAAGCACUCACCUUUUGAUUAUUGGCGGAAGAAUGAAAGAAGAUUUAGUUUUAUAAGAUGCGAAAACGUUACAAAGGAGAUUGAUGGUUGCACAGAUAUUACAGUGUCACGAGAGACUUUAAAUAUCGGGGAAAUAACUUAUAUUCACGGAGCGGAUUUUGUUGUCGAUGGUCAAGUUACUGAAACCUUAACAGGGGUCACAUUAAAAAAGAAAGCUGUAACAUAUAACUUUAGGAAACGCUCAAUUCAACUGUCAUUUCAUGGAACUUCAAGAAAAUUUAAACCAGGUUUACCAUUCUCAUAUGGGCUUAAAGUUACACAUCCUGAUAACUCGCCGGCAACGGGGGUCAAAGUUCGUGUCACAAUUGCUCGCGGCCGGAACACAGGAGCUCAAUUUUAUAACAAAACGUUUGUCGUGAAAAAUGGCUUGAUCACAGAUUCCAUCAAUCACGAAACUUACAAUGCCCGAAAUUUGGUUUUCGAGGCACAACUUCUGGGCCAAAAUCCUUAUCCAGUGAAAGUUGGAAACAAUUACUACUACAGUUUUACAAGAGCGUCGUUUUUCGCCAAACCCUGGUAUUCUCCAAGCUUCAGUUACCUCACGAUACUUCAGAAGAACACUCCAGCUAUGAUUGGCAGCGAGGCUUCUCUGACAGUACGAUACACAGCUCGUAACGACACUGGCAAUAAAGUCGAUUUUCAUUACACUGUAAUCUGUAAGGGCAAAUUUGUGAAAACUGGAAAACAUACAAAGCAUCAUGAUUUCAUCCCUGUCGAGAAACCAACUACCACAGCUAAGACAACCAGAGCGGCAACCAAUAUCGCGGACAACAACGGUACAUUUCCAUCCGUUGUGACACCCACGCAUGACCCAAUUAAAAAAUUGAAUACAAUACCACUCGUUAAGAAAUUUGAUAUCGAAUUCCCAGUGACAAUGGAAAUGGUGCCUUCGUGUCAGGUAAUGGUGUAUUACGUGAGAAAAGACAAGGAAGUUGUUGCUGAUAGUGUGGAGUUUGAUGUAGAAGAUAGACUAGAAAACCAGGUGUCGGUGAGCUUUGUGGAGAAGGAACUGAAGCCGGGAGAAAAAACGAAGCUGAUAUUGAAAGCUUCGCCCGGAUCACGCGUGGCGUUUGUGGCCGUGGACAAGAGCAUUCACAUUUUGAAAUCUGGGAACGAGUUUACAAAGGGUAAGAUCCGUCCAUACCUUUGGGAGCAUCGAAGGGCAACAUGGACUUCUAACCCAAAGUGUAGCCAUUCGGGAUACUCGUGGAGAAGAGAAUACGACGACGCCUCGGUGGCCUUUGAUGUAACUGGUCUCGUUUUCCUCUCGAAUCUUCGUAUUGUUACAAGACCAUGUCCAAAACCGGAUUAUCGUAUGGGACCCUCUACGGAAGCUCCAGAAGUCGUUACGGAAGCUCCAGAAAGCGAAUAUCGUGAAAGAGAAAUACUGGCAAAACAAAAGCCGUUCAAAAUUCGCAAAGAGUUCCCAGAGACAUGGUUAUGGUCGGAUGAAAAACUCGAUGAAUCAGGCAACAAGACAGUUGAAGUAACUGUGCCAGGUACAAUUACAAGUUGGGUGGCAAAUGCUUUCGCUAUUUCGUCGAAGACAGGUAUCGGAGUUUCAGAAACUUCAACACUCAGAGCUAUUCAACCGUUCUUUGUUUCAAUGACGCUACCAUACUCCGUCAUCCGAGGAGAAGAGAUUCCAGUCAUCGUAACUGUGUUUAAUUAUCUGCCUAGUUGUGCAGCGAUAAAAUUAGAAUUGAAGCGCAAGCAGGCCGACUACAAAGUGACAUCGUAUCAUAUCAACAAACUCUGCGUUUGUGGCAGCGAAGGAAAAUCAGUGAAGUUCACAAUCAUUCCUAUUAACCUCGGACACAUUCCUCUCACGGUCACGGCAACUACGUCAUCGGCCAAACUCUGUUCUAAUAAAACAAUUCCAGUCCACGAUGCCGUUACACGAAAACUACUCGUCGAGGCUGAAGGUAUCAAAAGGGAGUUCACUCAGGGAACAUUCUUCUGUCCAGGAAACAAGAAACACAAGGAAGAGUUUAACCUCAGGGUACCUGCGAAUUACAUACCAGGAUCAAUAUACCCAACAGUGACUAUUAUAGGUGACAUCAUGGGAGCAGCAAUGACGAAUCUAAAGGAUCUAUUGCGCAUGCCCUAUGGCUGUGGUGAACAAAAUAUGGCAAAUUUCGCACCCAAUAUCUACAUCAUGGAUUACUUGACUCAGACGAACCAAGUGACAGAAGGAAUCAAGAGUAAAGCCGAAAACUUUAUGAAAGUUGGUUAUCAAAGAGAAUUGAUUUACAAAAGAAAAAGUGGCUCGUACAGUACGUUUGGCAAUUCUGACAGUCAAGGAAGUAUGAUGUUGACCGCGUUUGUACUUCGAUCAUUUGCUCGAGCGAUGAAAUAUAUUUUUGUUGAUGAUGCCAAAAUUGAACACAGUUUCCGAUGGCUCCGCAGCAAACAAUUGAAUAUUGGAUGUUUCCCACAGUACGGAAAAGUGUUCCAUAGAAGACUACAGGGAGGCGUGAACAGCGAACUUACAAUGACAGCCUAUGUGACCAUAGCCCUUUUGGAAGCUGGAGAAACAACAAAUAGCAUCAUGGUGUCCAAAGCUCUCAAGUGUAUCGUAAAUCGACUUGACACGAUCACUGAUACUUAUUCAACUGCCCUUGUGACGUAUGCCUUGACUUUAGCAAACCAUACUGACGCUCAGAGGAUGCUCAGAAUAUUGAAAAAUAAGGCAACCAAAGAAGAGGGUCAAAUGUACUGGGGAAUUGGAAACAAGCGUACGGAGAGUCUAAGAUAUUACUAUCAGCGAUCAUCAGCCGACGUAGAAACGACAGCAUAUGCCUUGCUUUCAAUUUUACAUCAAACGCCAAAUUAUGAAAGCGUAGUAAAUAAUGAAAUUAUGGACAUUAUUCAUUGGUUAUCAAGACAAAGAAACUCUCAAGGCGGAUUUUAUUCAACACAGGACACUUGUGUUGCUCUACAAGCGUUAGCCGAGUUUGCAGGACGAGCUUAUGGGGAUAGCGCUGAUUUUAGUUCAAGUCAGUUAACGGGAUCUUUGAAGAUGGGUGAUCACUACAACCACAACUUCGUGGUAACAAUAGCGAAUAAACUGAUAUUACAAACUGUUGAGCUUCCUCAGAAGAUCAUUCCCGGUAAAUUGGAAGUAACGGGUCAAGGCGUUGGCUGUGCGUUGGUACAGACGUCAGUUAAGUAUAAUAUCCCUGAACCGGAAGAUGUUCCAGCAUUUGAUAUUAAAGUUGAUGUUCGUACGAGACGUUCAGCCCCUGAUGAAGAAACGACCCAAUGUAGUCCAUUAAAACUGGAAAUAACCACAAAGUGGCUCAAGGAGGUUGUUUCCAACAUGCGUGAGAGAGGAAUCGUUGGAAAGUCUAAGGAAUGAUCCGGUGCUAAACUUCAAACGUUACGAUAUUGAUGGACAGAACGUACAGCUUUAUUUCGAUGAGAUCAGUGAUAUUACUUUCUCCAUU
RNAcentral lists this unclassified non-coding RNA (4361 nucleotides) under Dendronephthya gigantea. RNAcentral describes it as "alpha-2-macroglobulin-like protein 1, transcript variant X1". Lineage: Eukaryota; Metazoa; Cnidaria; Anthozoa; Malacalcyonacea; Nephtheidae. The record is from RNAcentral.